This 207-nucleotide long non-coding RNA is filed under the name Lathyrus oleraceus (garden pea). RNAcentral describes it as "Pisum sativum (pea) long non-coding RNA (PSAT_LNC019206)". The record is from RNAcentral. Lineage: Eukaryota; Viridiplantae; Streptophyta; Magnoliopsida; Fabales; Fabaceae.
AGAAAGCCAAGAGCAUAACCUUCAUGUCAAACACGGAAGAGGAAGAUGAGGAAGGUGGUCAAGAUAUUGAUGAAGAUCUGGCAAAAAAGGUAGUAAUGCUGGGAAGACAGUUCAACAGAAUGUCAAGAACAUCGCAUCUGACAUCAGUAAAUCCAACAGUUUUGGUAGAAGAACAAGGUCUGAAGAAAAGCCCAAAGAAGUUCAGUG